This is an RNA transcript of Arachis ipaensis, 1017 nucleotides long. It is a transcript of the gene named U4/U6.U5 small nuclear ribonucleoprotein, with no coding region annotated. Lineage: Eukaryota; Viridiplantae; Streptophyta; Magnoliopsida; Fabales; Fabaceae. The record is from RefSeq and is a predicted model, not a curated record.
AUGGGCCGUAUUGCUAGUCAGCCCAACUUUUGGCCCAAACUUGCCUUUUGAAAAAAUGCAGCUGUGGUUGUAGUAGCAGCCAGCCAGCCACUGCUUCCCGAGUAUCAUGGCUGACCGAGACCGUGACCGUGACCGUAAUCGAGACCGGGAAAGGGAACGAAGGCGAGACAAGGAUGACCGUGACCGUGACCGUGACCGUGAACGUGACCGAGAACGGGAUCGAGUUCGGAGCAAGAGAUCCCGUUCGCGGUCACCUGACCGUGCUGCCCGCUCCCGCCACACUCGCUCUCGCACUCGCUCGCCUGACCGGUACCGCUCUCCGUCCCGUUCCCGCUCUCCAGCGGACCGCUCUCACCGGCGGCGUCGCCACCACCGGACCCCUUCCCCGGACCCUCCAAGAAAGCGGCACCGGAGAGACUCCCCCGAGGACGCGAAGAAGGCGGUUUCUGACUUCGUGGACGGGAUCGUGAAGGAGCAGCAGCAGAAGCAGAAGGAGAAUGGUGCUGGAGUUGAAGGAGAAGCAGCUGAGACCAACGAAGACGAGAUGGAAAUGAUGAAGAUGCUUGGGAUUCCCACAGGAUUCGAUUCCACCAAGGGAAAGCCUGUGCCCGGUGCUGACGUCAGCGGCGUCAGAGCCGUCACCAAGCGCCAGCCGAGGCAGUACAUGAACCGCCGUGGUGGCUUCAAUCGCCCAUUGCCUGCUGAGAGGAAUCGAUAGAUUGCCCCUAGGGUUUCUUUGAGAUGGUUUAUGGUUUUGGUGAAGGUUCACUUAUCCGUGCUGUGCUUUGAUUGUGAAGUCGAGUGAUUCUGGAUUGGACAUCAUGGCCAUGGAAGUUCAUAUGCUUUCUGACCUAAAUUAUUAUUAUCCCAAAGUGCGGUAGUUUUAGGCCGAAAACAAACAAGUUUACGCCUGUGAGAAAGAAGAGGAAAUAGGGAUAAAGAAAUACAUGCUAUGUGACAAUAUGUGCCUCCUUUAUUUCCAAAGUUUAGUUGGUCUUGCUCACAAAAUCUUGAAAA